UACGUAGGGGGCAAGCGUUAUCCGGAUUUACUGGGUGUAAAGGGAGCGUAGACGGCGAAGCAAGUCUGGAGUGAAAGCCCGGGGCCCAACCCCGGGACUGCUCUGGAAACUGCGGCGCUGGAGUGCAGGAGGGGUAAGCGGAAUUCCUGGUGUAGCGGUGAAAUGCGUAGAUAUCAGGAGGAACACCGGUGGCGAAGGCGGCUUACUGGACUGCAACUGACGUUGAGGCUCGAAGGCGUGGGGAGCAA
This 248-nucleotide ribosomal RNA is filed under the name uncultured Lachnospiraceae bacterium. Its description in RNAcentral is "partial 16S ribosomal RNA". It matches the Rfam family "Bacterial small subunit ribosomal RNA", at positions 524 to 771 of the family's 1533-position model. The record is from RNAcentral. Lineage: Bacteria; Bacillati; Bacillota; Clostridia; Lachnospirales; Lachnospiraceae.